AACGAACGCUGGCGGCAGGCUUAACACAUGCAAGUCGAACGCCCUCUUCGGAGGGAGUGGCAGACGGGUGAGUAACGCGUGGGAACCUACCUAUCAGUACGGAACAACACAGAGAAAUUUGUGCUAAUACCGUAUACGUCCUUCGGGAGAAAGAUUUAUCGCUGAUAGAUGGGCCCGCGUUAGAUUAGCUAGUUGGUGAGGUAAUGGCUCACCAAGGCGACGAUCUAUAGCUGGUCUGAGAGGAUGAUCAGCCACACUGGAACUGAGACACGGUCCAGACUCCUACGGGAGGCAGCAGUGGGGAAUAUUGGACAAUGGGCGAAAGCCUGAUCCAGCCAUGCCGCGUGAGUGAUGAAGGCCCUAGGGUUGUAAAGCUCUUUCAACGGUGAAGAUAAUGACGGUAGCCGUAGAAGAAGCCCCGGCUAACUUCG
Molecule: ribosomal RNA, 431 nt
Filed under: uncultured Phyllobacteriaceae bacterium
Lineage: Bacteria; Pseudomonadati; Pseudomonadota; Alphaproteobacteria; Hyphomicrobiales; Phyllobacteriaceae
Description: bacterial SSU rRNA
Rfam family: Bacterial small subunit ribosomal RNA
Source: RNAcentral